Non-coding RNA from Monodelphis domestica (gray short-tailed opossum), 329 nucleotides. NCBI's taxonomy places the organism in Eukaryota, Metazoa, Chordata, Mammalia, Didelphimorphia, Didelphidae. The record is from RefSeq and is a predicted model, not a curated record.
GUUCCACAAACCGCCUCCAGAUCUUGCCCGGAACUGCAGGGAUGAGAAUGGGGCCUGGAACAUGAGGUUAUGACCGCCAGUCCCUUGGAGGAGGAAAAAGUUGAUCUAGAACCAAGGACAAGCCAACUUCUACUUACUAUGAAGAAAAACAUCCUAAAAAUUACAGAAUGGGUUGCCUCAGGAUGUGGUGGGUUUUCCCUCCUUUUGAAGAUCUUCCAACAGAAGUUAGACAACCAUUUGUGGGGAAUUGUGGGACUCUUGUGAUGGUGGCGAAUUCCUUUUGGGUGAGAUGGAUUAAAUGACUAAUGAGUUUUCUUCAAACUCUCAAA